This is a non-coding RNA of Rattus norvegicus (Norway rat), 573 nucleotides long. Lineage: Eukaryota; Metazoa; Chordata; Mammalia; Rodentia; Muridae. The record is from RefSeq and is a predicted model, not a curated record.
AGUCCAACGGUCCCUGCCCCCACCCCCAAGGUCUCUGAGAAGACACAGGGACAAGACUGCCUAGAUUGUGGUAUGAUAACCACGGAGAAACACCACUCCAUUGCCUUGCCUGCUGCCAGGCCUCAGCCUACACUGUAGACAAACAAAAGAUACUGAGAGUUAAUUGUCUCAUAUUGCCUAAGACAAGGUUUGUGACAAUGGAACAGAGGUGUGAAUGGAGGCAGAGACAGAGAUGGAGGAUAGGAGCCGAUGAGAAAGAGAACAGGCGAUAACCAAAGCCUCAGUUUAACAUCCGAGCAAUGGAAGCAGCACACUAUCACCUCAGAGCGCUCACAGUCUGCUUGCCACUGAGACCAACGCUUCGUGCGGAAGGACAGGAGAGGACAGCAUUGUGAAUAAAGGAGGUUCCAGGGGCCACCUUGGAGGCUGACACCGCUCCCCCUAAAACAGGUCACCACAAACCCACACUAAGAGCUACUUGAUCCUGCAAGAGAUGGUAGAUUGAACAGAUGAUCCAGAAGGGUCCUGGGGGUGGGGAGGGGCAGCUCAUAAAGAAUCUUCUAGACCAGUGAA